This 544-nucleotide long non-coding RNA is filed under the name Homo sapiens (human). RNAcentral's name for it is "HSALNT0362945". Lineage: Eukaryota; Metazoa; Chordata; Mammalia; Primates; Hominidae. The record is from RNAcentral.
UGACUGGUGUCCUUAGAAGAAGGGAAGGGACACAGGGAGAACAGCCCCUGAUGACAGAGGCAGAGACUGGCAGGAUGUGUCUACGAGCCAAGGAACACCAAGAGUUGCCAGCAACCACUGGAAGCUGGGACGAGGCCAGAAAGCAUUAUCCCCAAGAGCCUUCAGAGAGAACUCGAUCCUGCCAGCACCUUGACUUUGGGCUUCCAGCCUCCAGAAUCAUAGACUACAGGCCUUUGCUGACACUAUGCAAUCAGAUCAAAUUCAGAAGAGGAUGAGUGGAUGCAGCUACUACACUCCUUGGUUUCAAAUUUUGUGCUAAUUGAAACUGCCUCAUUGCUCUCAUUGAUUUUCUUUGUAACAGAUAAAUGCUAUUAAAUUGAAUUGCAAAAUAUAUAAUAAAAUACCACCAUUACUUGCAUUACCUACCAUAAGAUUUUGCUUUUAUAAAGUUCUGCCACUACAAAAAUUAUCUGGGCGAGGUGGUGGGCACCUGUAAUCCCAGCUACUCGGGAGGCUGAGGCAGGAGAAUUGCUGGAACCUGGGA